Molecule: ribosomal RNA, 460 nt
Filed under: uncultured bacterium
Lineage: Bacteria
Description: partial 16S ribosomal RNA
Rfam family: Bacterial small subunit ribosomal RNA
Source: RNAcentral
CCUACGGGAGGCAGCAGUGAGGAAUAUUGGUCAAUGGACGAGAGCCUGAACCAGCCAAGUAGCGUGAAUGAUGACUGCCCUAGGGGUUGUAAACUUCUUUUAUAUGGGAAUAAAAUGUUCCACGUGUGGGUUUUUGUCUGUACCAUAUGAAUAAGGAUCGGCUAACUCCGUUCCAGCAGCCGAGGUAAUACGGAGGAUCCGAGCGUUAUCCGGAUUUAUUGGGUGUAAAGGGAGCGUAGGUGGAUUGUUAAGUCAGUUGUGAAAGUUUGCGGCUCAACCGUAAAAUUGCAGUUGAAACUGGCAGUCUUGAGUACAGUAGAGGUGGGCGGAAUUCGUGGUGUAGCGGUGAAAUGCUUAGAUAUCACGAAGAACUCCGAUUGCGAAGGCAGCUCACUGGACUGCAACUGACACUGAGGCGCGAAAGUGUGGGUAUCAAACAGGAUUAGAUACCCUGGUAGUC